AGGGUCCACCAGCGGAGGUUCUUGGUUCUGUGAUUGGAAGAUUAGCUUUCUUCGAGGAAUACCUAAAUCAGUGUCAAAGUAAAGAGACUGAGGAGGAMAACACACCAAAAAGUGACACUGAAAUUGCAGUUUCGAUCCAAUCUCGCUAAACAAGCUAGGACAGACGUGAUGCAGUCUAAAAUGUACGUGGGUUUGAAGACUAUGGCAUCAUGACUCAGAUACGCCUCGAUGGCUAUCUGAGCGUGCUACAACUUGAGUUUUGUCAACAUUUUCAGUCUUUCUACUAACUCCAACAAGAGAGAGUUUUUUUCCUGCUUUUAUGAAAUAUUAACCAACUUAUUUCCGUGCCGAAGAUUCCUUUUUUCACAAAGUAUAUAUUGAUAUCGUACGAGAAAAUAUUCUGACGGUGCUCAUACGUAAAUACAUMAAAGGUGGUUAUUUUCGUUUGUCAACAUAUAAAAGAUAUUGCUCUCUGUAUUAAUUGAAAUCAUUGUUUGUACAAUUUUCUCUAAAUUAACAAUAUCAAAGCUUAGGGCCCACAGUAUUCGUGUCGCGAAGAAUAUUGGAACGCGGCCCAGAACGGUGCUUUCUGAAGCGUGCAUGAAUACGUUAUUGACUGCGUGCAAGUUACGCGUCAUUGAGGAUCUAAUGAUGGCAAGCACUUAACGUAGAGCUGUUAAGACUUUGUUUAGAACUUAUGAAUAAUCACGAAUCAUCGAGAAAAUUGGCGCCAAGUAUUCUGUCUUCAUUAAUGAAUGUGCGGCUUACCGCACUUCAUGUGGACAAGCCCAAAAAUUCUACCUUUGGUACUCCUUGUCUAGCGCAUURAUCUCGUCAUAUAAUGAAUGGCAUACAUGAAAGAUACGUAAGAAAUACGUAAGGGAUACGUAAGGGAUAUGUCUAGUAGAUAUUGAACUGAGAACAUGCGCUCGUGAAUAAAAGUCCUUACAUUUUGCUGUAGUGUUUAAAAUUUAUCGCAACGUAAAUUAUAAUUACGUAUCUUCAUCCGCACGUGAUCAUCUCCGCUUAAUUGCGUAUCGUAAGGUCAAUAUUCCWCAAUAUUAAUAAACUCAUUGUUGAUAUCACU
Exaiptasia diaphana is the source of this 1087-nucleotide long non-coding RNA. RefSeq lists it as uncharacterized. The record is from RefSeq and is a predicted model, not a curated record. NCBI's taxonomy places the organism in Eukaryota, Metazoa, Cnidaria, Anthozoa, Actiniaria, Aiptasiidae. The transcript is spliced from 2 exons.